UACAAAUGAGUGGAAACUGGAAACCCGGGGCUGACUUUUAACACUAGCUAGGGAAGGAAAAGUGGCAGCAAAGCAAGACGAAGGUGGUGCUGCCAUUAUACAAGUGAAAGAGGAGACAACUUAUACAUAUAGUAAAUAAUAUUCAAGGUAAUUCAUUCUCAAAGGGAGCAUGCAUGUAACUAUAUAUAUAUAAUCUAUUGAUCAC
Molecule: long non-coding RNA, 205 nt
Filed under: Hordeum vulgare
Lineage: Eukaryota; Viridiplantae; Streptophyta; Magnoliopsida; Poales; Poaceae
Description: long non-coding RNA (HVUL_LNC001510)
Source: RNAcentral